CAGCAGCCACGGUAAUACGGAGGGAGCUAGCGUUGUUCGGAAUUACUGGGCGUAAAGCGCGCGUAGGCGGUUACUCAAGUCAGAGGUGAAAGCCCGGGGCUCAACCCCGGAACUGCCUUUGAAACUAGGUGACUAGAAUCUUGGAGAGGUCAGUGGAAUUCCGAGUGUAGAGGUGAAAUUCGUAGAUAUUCGGAAGAACACCAGUGGCGAAGGCGACUGACUGGACAAGUAUUGACGCUGAGGUGCGAAAGCGUGGGGAGCAAACAGGAUUAGAUACCCCCGUAGUCCCUGUCUCUUAUAA
This 301-nucleotide ribosomal RNA is filed under the name uncultured bacterium. Its description in RNAcentral is "partial 16S ribosomal RNA". It matches the Rfam family "Bacterial small subunit ribosomal RNA", at positions 509 to 809 of the family's 1533-position model. The record is from RNAcentral.